AAAUUGAAGAGUUUGAUCAUGGCUCAGAUUGAACGCUGGCGGCAGGCCUAACACAUGCAAGUCGAGCGGUAGCACAGAGAGCUUGCUCUCGGGUGACGAGCGGCGGACGGGUGAGUAAUGUCUGGGAAACUGCCUGAUGGAGGGGA
RNAcentral lists this ribosomal RNA (146 nucleotides) under Klebsiella variicola. RNAcentral describes it as "partial 16S ribosomal RNA". It matches the Rfam family "Bacterial small subunit ribosomal RNA", at positions 1 to 142 of the family's 1533-position model. Lineage: Bacteria; Pseudomonadati; Pseudomonadota; Gammaproteobacteria; Enterobacterales; Enterobacteriaceae. The record is from RNAcentral.